UUACGACCAUGCCAUGCUGAAACACCUGUCCUCGUCCGAUUACCGAAGUUAAGCAACGUCGAACUUGGUCAGUAAUAGAUAGGAUACCGCUUGGGAAUAUCAGGUGCUGUAA
Acanthosepion pharaonis is the source of this 112-nucleotide non-coding RNA. The record is from the annotation of a GenBank genome assembly. Lineage: Eukaryota; Metazoa; Mollusca; Cephalopoda; Sepiida; Sepiidae.